GCUCUAGUAGCUUAUACUUUAAAAGCGUUGCCCUUGUAAGACAAAGCAGGACUAACCCCUAGAGCA
RNAcentral lists this transfer RNA (66 nucleotides) under Elaphe davidi (Pere David's rat snake). RNAcentral's name for it is "tRNA-Thr". Lineage: Eukaryota; Metazoa; Chordata; Lepidosauria; Squamata; Colubridae. The record is from RNAcentral.